UGUUGUGGUGUAACCUGCGAGCCUGUUUACUGAGAUAUAACUCUUUAUUUAUUGCUUUGACAAAGUAAAAUGAUGUUUAUCAUGAAAAGCUACAUUGACCUCUCACUGAGUGCUAACUCAUGGGCUUGCACGUAUUUCCUGUGAUGAAAGUAGAAAGAGACCUUGACCCAUGUUGUUUUCUGAAGCUUUGAAGUUGGUCUUAGUCUAUUACUAGUUGUAGUUGAAGUUCAAAGUAUAUGUGGGAUGCUGCUUGAGAUUCUUAUGUGCUAUAGUUUUGUCUUUAAGUUUUAGUGUCUUCUCUAGGCAUCUGCUCUGUUUUUAAAGAGCAUGGCUUGUACUUGUGUGGUUUGUCUAACACUAUACAUGUCAGGAAUCGUGUGGUUAGACUCAUGCUUUUUGACAUGGGAGGAGUUCAGCUGGAUUAAAGAAUGGAAAAACUUCAAAGCUGUCUUGAAGAAAAAGGGGAACUGUUUAUGCUCUCACUCAGAAAUUAAAUGAGUUAACAAGACAUGUUUGAAUACAGAAAUGGAAAUCACAAAGGAUCACAAUGGAAACUAGAAAGGGUAAGGAAAGAACUCUGCUAAGCCAUUAAUCAGAGGA
RNAcentral lists this long non-coding RNA (600 nucleotides) under Anser brachyrhynchus (Pink-footed goose). RNAcentral's name for it is "lncRNA (ENSABRG00000003264.1)". Lineage: Eukaryota; Metazoa; Chordata; Aves; Anseriformes; Anatidae. The record is from RNAcentral.